AAUGCUGCUGAGAAUGGCCAUGGGAAGGGGGAGAAUUCAUCACACAGAGGCUUCACAUGUUUGGUUUUCCCACUUUUGGAACAGAACAUUUUAUGAAGAAGGAAUCGCACGCACCCUUUUCAUAGUAAGGUAAAGCUAAAGGGACCCCUGACUAUUAGGUCCAGUCGUGACCGACUCUGGGGUUGUGGCGUUCAUCUCGCUUUAUUGGCCGGGGGAGCCGGCGUACAGCUUCCGGGUCAGCAUGACUAAGCCACUUCUGGCGAACCAGAGCAGCACACGGAAACGGCGUUUACCUUCCCGCCGGAGCGGUAUCUAUUUAUCUACUUGCACUUUGAUGUGCUUUCGAACUGCUAGGUUGGCAGGAGCAGGGACCGAACAAUGGGAGUUCACCCCAUCGCGGAGAUUCAAACCACCGACCUUCUGAUCAGCAAGUCCUAGGCUCUGUGGUUUAACCCACAGUGCCACCCGCGUCCCUUUUCAUAGUAGGACCCCUGAAAAUAAUGGACAUGGCUUAUUUAGCUCCCUUAGUUAUUACGUACUUAUCUCCCUUAAUUUCAAUGGGUGCGCCCUGAAUAGAACUUGGUUAGAUACAAGCCAAAUAAUUGAAUGCUAAAGUGUAGAGAGCCCAGCAUGGACAAAACAACAACCACACAGCAAGUUCACUUCUCUGGUGAAAGGAAAAGGAAAAGGAAAGGAGUCAAGGGGCUCCCUUUCAUCUGUUCUCCUUUUUCGAAAGGAUAAGCUUAAAAUCCUUGCUAUUCUGGUCUUCUGUUCACUGCAGGGGAUGAGGGGAUGUGAAAGGAAUCAGAAAAAAAAAAUUACUCCCUGCAGAAGUGGCAUGUGAGGUGGGGCAGAUUUGUGGACCUGUCCUGAUACUGGCAUCACUGGCAUCAAACAAGGAUGGGGCAGGGCAGUGGCAAGGAUAAGACCAUGCAGGCAAGCCUGUGGGGGAGGGGGCACCAGAUUGGCAGUGGCUGUCCUUGCCAAUGCAACUCUGCUAUCCUAAUCUUGCCGCCGCCACCCCAGCCCUGCCCAGGUCAGCAGUGGCGAUGCUAUUCCUGGGGGUGGCUCCACAGACCUGCCUCACCACAUGCACUUCUAUUGCCCAGCAGAAGCCUGAAAUUGUACAUCCCACUUCUCAGGAUUCCACCUCCUCGUUCAGCAACAUGCUUAGAUCCAGCCUUAGAAUUGCAGUAUAGAGAAAAUGAAGGACAUUUCUACCCUUUUAGCUUCGACCUCUUUAAACUGCAGUAGAUGUCCCCUCCAAUCUGCCUGUUAAUAGGGACCAGAUCUUUUCUAUCACUAUCCAUUAUAAGGUCACCCGAGACGCCGCUCUGUCUUCUGACUUUUAUAUUUGGCCUGUCACUGGAACUUCAUUUUUUCGCCUACAUGAGAAUUCAUCUACCAGAACUUAUCCAGGGCUUUCACAGAUUGAUGCUGAUAACUAUAUUCCAAGCUUUUGUGACCUCCAAGGUUAGAUUAUUGAAGGGUAUUAGUUUAUAGCCUCUCAUAAAAUGCUCUCUGGAUGCCACGUUGCACAAAGGUCUUUUAGUUCAAGCCUGAGAGAGUUGCCUUACCUUGCCAUACAAACCUUGGGGGAGUUAGACUGAUACUUGUCAAAUGUUUAUUAAAUGUUAAAGUUUUCUUUAUUACAUAGAAGACUGAACAUGGUCUGGAACUUGCUCUUCUCUAAAUAGAUGUCUCAGAAUCCUCAAACAAAUGGAAGACCCAAACAAAGCAAGGUUUUAAGGCCACAGACACGCCAUACAUUUUUAAAGCAGUAUGAUAGCCCUUUGAACAGACAUGGCUUCCGGCAAAUAAUUCUGGGAACUGUAGUUUGUUAAGAGUGUUAAGAGUUGCUCUCUAUUCCCUUCAUGAGCUAUAGUUCUCAGAGUGGUUCCCAAAGAACUGGGAAGACCAUCGUGGCUGAGAGUCCUGGAGGACCUGCAGUCCUUUUCCAUCUGGAAGCACAGCACCCUGACUCACUCUAGCUACAAAAGCUGAGGUUGCUGAGGAGGCUGAAGACCACAUUGACUGUGAGUCCUGGAGGACCUCAUCCUUGCUUUGUAUCAUUCCUGGCCCAACUGCACUGGCUGCCAAUUAUUUUCUGGGCCUAAUUCAAACUGCUGGUUCUGUCCUAUAAAGCCUUAAACAGAUCAAUACUGCAAUACCUCAAGGACCGCUUCUCCCCAGAUGAACUGACCCAGAACCUUCAAUUGUCAUCUGAGGCACUUCUUCACGUGCCUUCUCCAUGAGAGAUCUAGAGUGGCAACACAAGAACGGGCCUUUUUUUGCAGUGGCUUCCUGUUUGUGGAAUGCUCUCCCCAGGGAGGCUCACCUAGCACCUUUAGGUGCAAGGCGAAAAUGUUUCUCUUUAGCUAGGUCUUUGGCUGAAUAACAUUCUAUGUCCUAUUAAAUGUGUUUAUGGGAAAGGGUUAUGUUAGGAUGCUGUCAGCGGCUCCCAGCUGGUUGUCCAGGAAAGUAUAAAGACAAGGAAAAGUUUCUUACCAUCUUUUUUAUUUCAAUAUUACAGAGAAAGGCUAUAGAACCCAACCUCUUGGAUACUGGCAUUGUCUCAAGUGAAUAUCCACACACACACACACACCGUCUCUCCUAUUUCCUCAUUCGUCACUUCUGUGGGUGCUGCUACGUGCCCUCUGUCUUUGAGCUCUUUGCUUUCCUACUUUUAAGGCUCGCCGGGUUCUGGGAGAUGGGGGGGGGUCUGGAAUGCUUUCUAAAGACACCAUGUCAGCCAGCUGCUGUUCCAGUCCUGCCUCCUCCUCUCCUAUUAUUUCCCAACUUUCCCCCUCAUCUGCCUUUGAGCUGUGACCUCCUUCAAACCACUGU
This is a non-coding RNA of Podarcis lilfordi (Lilford's wall lizard), 2847 nucleotides long. NCBI's taxonomy places the organism in Eukaryota, Metazoa, Chordata, Lepidosauria, Squamata, Lacertidae. The record is from the annotation of a GenBank genome assembly.